This is an RNA transcript of Mus musculus (house mouse), 2029 nucleotides long. It is a transcript of the gene named erythropoietin receptor, with no coding region annotated. NCBI's taxonomy places the organism in Eukaryota, Metazoa, Chordata, Mammalia, Rodentia, Muridae. The record is from RefSeq and is marked validated. The transcript has 7 exons.
CAGCCUGCAAGCUGGCCCCGCCCCCUGGAAGGAGCUGCCACUUAGAAGCUCCUGGUCAGCUGUGUCCGGCAGCUGCUGCUGACCCAGCUGUGGACUAGGGGAAAGGGGAAAGAGGAAAGGGAAGGAGAGGUGGGGGGGACGAAACAGGGGCGCUGGAGCCCUGAGCUUCCUGAAGCUAGGGCUGCAUCAUGGACAAACUCAGGGUGCCCCUCUGGCCUCGGGUAGGCCCCCUCUGUCUCCUACUUGCUGGGGCAGCCUGGGCACCUUCACCCAGCCUCCCGGACCCCAAGUUUGAGAGCAAAGCGGCCCUGCUGGCAUCCCGGGGCUCCGAAGAACUUCUGUGCUUCACCCAACGCUUGGAAGACUUGGUGUGUUUCUGGGAGGAAGCGGCGAGCUCCGGGAUGGACUUCAACUACAGCUUCUCAUACCAGCUCGAGGGUGAGUCACGAAAGUCAUGUAGCCUGCACCAGGCUCCCACCGUCCGCGGCUCCGUGCGUUUCUGGUGUUCACUGCCAACAGCGGACACAUCGAGUUUUGUGCCGCUGGAGCUGCAGGUGACGGAGGCGUCCGGUUCUCCUCGCUAUCACCGCAUCAUCCAUAUCAAUGAAGUAGUGCUCCUGGACGCCCCCGCGGGGCUGCUGGCGCGCCGGGCAGAAGAGGGCAGCCACGUGGUGCUGCGCUGGCUGCCACCUCCUGGAGCACCUAUGACCACCCACAUCCGAUAUGAAGUGGACGUGUCGGCAGGCAACCGGGCAGGAGGGACACAAAGGGUGGAGGUCCUGGAAGGCCGCACUGAGUGUGUUCUGAGCAACCUGCGGGGCGGGACGCGCUACACCUUCGCUGUUCGAGCGCGCAUGGCCGAGCCGAGCUUCAGCGGAUUCUGGAGUGCCUGGUCUGAGCCCGCGUCACUACUGACCGCUAGCGGUGAGGCCCUAGUUCCUCGGGGUGCAGGAGGAGCUGGGCCAAACACCAGGCAAACUCCCUGACCUUCUUGCCUCCCAGACCUGGACCCUCUCAUCUUGACGCUGUCUCUCAUUCUGGUCCUCAUCUCGCUGUUGCUGACGGUUCUGGCCCUGCUGUCCCACCGCCGGUGAGCCCCUCACCUGAGGUCUGACUUAGAUCGUCCCCUGGGAUCGCCCUUUCUAGAGAAAGCGAAGUUCAGAUGGGGACUCUGCAGCAGAAGAUCUGGCCUGGCAUCCCAAGCCCAGAGAGCGAGUUUGAGGGUCUCUUCACCACCCACAAGGGUAACUUCCAGCUGUGGCUGCUGCAGCGUGAUGGUUGUCUGUGGUGGAGCCCGGGCAGCUCCUUCCCUGAGGAUCCACCUGCCCACCUAGAGGUCCUCUCAGAGCCACGCUGGGCAGUGACUCAGGCUGGGGACCCAGGGGCAGAUGAUGAGGGGCCCUUACUGGAGCCGGUGGGCAGUGAGCAUGCCCAGGACACCUACUUGGUAUUGGAUAAGUGGUUGCUGCCCCGGACCCCAUGCAGUGAGAACCUCUCAGGGCCUGGGGGCAGUGUGGACCCUGUGACUAUGGAUGAAGCUUCAGAAACAUCUUCCUGCCCGUCUGACUUGGCCUCAAAGCCCAGGCCAGAGGGCACCUCACCUUCCAGCUUUGAGUACACCAUCCUGGACCCCAGCUCUCAGCUCCUGUGCCCUCGGGCACUGCCUCCCGAGCUACCUCCCACUCCACCUCACUUGAAGUACCUAUACCUUGUGGUGUCCGAUUCUGGCAUCUCAACAGAUUACAGUUCGGGGGGCUCUCAGGGAGUCCACGGGGACUCAUCUGAUGGCCCCUACUCCCACCCCUAUGAGAACAGCCUUGUCCCAGACUCAGAGCCUCUGCAUCCCGGCUAUGUGGCCUGCUCCUAGGACUCCAGCCUACAACGUCUUGAACGGGAUUGGUGAAGCCAUACUUAAAGUCAGAGCUGACCUUGGCCCUCUGAGCAGGAAGAGACAGCCUUGCAAUGUUAAGAUUAAGAGUUAUCUGUCUGUAUAUAGAAAUAUAUAUAUAUAUCGAUUUUUCUACCUUGA